Molecule: ribosomal RNA, 274 nt
Filed under: uncultured bacterium
Lineage: Bacteria
Description: partial 16S ribosomal RNA
Rfam family: Bacterial small subunit ribosomal RNA
Source: RNAcentral
AUACGGAGGGGGCUAGCGUUGUUCGGAAUUACUGGGCGUAAAGGGCGCGUAGGCGGAUUGUCAAGUCAGAGGUGAAAGCCCUGGGCUCAACCUGGGAACUGCCUUUGAAACUAACGGUCUAGAGUCCGAGAGAGGAUGGCGGAAUUCCCAGUGUAGAGGUGAAAUUCGUAGAUAUUGGGAAGAACACCAGUGGCGAAGGCGGCCAUCUGGCUCGGUACUGACGCUGAGGCGCGAAAGCGUGGGGAGCAAACAGGAUUAGAUACCCCAGUAGUCC